GACGAACGCUGGCGGCGUGCUUAACACAUGCAAGUCGAGCGAGGCCCACCUUUCGGGGUGGUGUCCUAGCGGCGAACGGGUGAGUAACACGUGGGCAACCUGCCCUCAGCUCUGGGAUAACUCCAAGAAAUUGGGGCUAAUACCGGAUAUGACCGCUGACCGCAUGGUCUGGUGGUGGAAAGAUUUAUCGGCUGGGGAUGGGCCCGCGGCCUAUCAGCUUGUUGGUGGGGUAGUGGCCUACCAAGGCGACGACGGGUAGCCGGCCUGAGAGGGUGACCGGCCACACUGGGACUGAGACACGGCCCAGACUCCUACGGGAGGCAGCAGUGGGGAAUAUUGCGCAAUGGGCGGAAGCCUGACGCAGCGACGCCGCGUGGGGGAUGACGGCCUUCGGGUUGUAAACCUCUUUCAGCAGGGACGAAGCGAAAGUGACGGUACCUGCAGAAGAAGCACCGGCCAACUACGUGCCAGCAGCCGCGGUAAUACGUAGGGUGCAAGCGUUGUCCGGAAUUAUUGGGCGUAAAGAGCUCGUAGGCGGUUUGUUGCGUCGGCUGUGAAAUCCCGAGGCUCAACCUCGGGUCUGCAGUCGAUACGAGCAAACUAGAGUGUUGCAGGGGAGACUGGAAUUCCUGGUGUAGCGGUGAAAUGCGCAGAUAUCAGAGGAACACCGGUGGCGAAAGGCGGGUCUCUGGGCAACAACUGACGCUGAGGAGCGAAAGCGUGGGGAGCGAACAGGAUUAGAUACCCUGGUAGUCCACGCCGUAAACGUUGGGCGCUAGGUGUGGGGCUCAUUCCACGAGUUCCGUGCCGCAGCUAACGCAUUAAGCGCCCGCCUGGGGAGUACGGCGCAGGCUAAA
RNAcentral lists this ribosomal RNA (857 nucleotides) under uncultured bacterium. RNAcentral describes it as "bacterial SSU rRNA". It matches the Rfam family "Bacterial small subunit ribosomal RNA", at positions 28 to 898 of the family's 1533-position model. The record is from RNAcentral.